Molecule: ribosomal RNA, 29 nt
Filed under: Microascus gracilis
Lineage: Eukaryota; Fungi; Ascomycota; Sordariomycetes; Microascales; Microascaceae
Description: partial 18S ribosomal RNA
Source: RNAcentral
CCGUUGGGGACCCAGCGGAGGGAUCAUUA